This is a long non-coding RNA of Ailuropoda melanoleuca (giant panda), 671 nucleotides long. RefSeq lists it as uncharacterized. The transcript has 4 exons. NCBI's taxonomy places the organism in Eukaryota, Metazoa, Chordata, Mammalia, Carnivora, Ursidae. The record is from RefSeq and is a predicted model, not a curated record.
GGAAAUACCAGCCGCUGCCGCAUCCUGUCGUCCCUCCAUCCUCUCCGGCACCCUCCUUCACUCAAGCCCCACUCCCUGAGGAGUUCAUUCUGAGUGUGAGAUCCAGAGGAGCUCCGAAUUCUGGCGACAGACGUGCCCACCCUGGUGACAAAGUGGAAGGGGAAGCCUGCGCGCCAAGGCCCAGGGCUGCUUUGCACCUUCCCGGGGACGAGGGCAGGUGGCCCAUCUGUCAGGAUCACCUGCCGUUAUCAGCAGGAGAGGUCCUCACAGGAAGACAGUGAAAUGGGAUUGCUGACCUCUCUCCCCCUGUCUGUACUCAGCCGACCUUCCCCAGGAUGUCAAGUCAGCCCUGCUGCCCAGGGAGAGGGGGAGCUGGGUCUCAUCCUGUGGCCCCUCCUCCAGCCAGUGUCCCCAGGGCAGGCGCCAGGACGACAGCAGAAAACUGAAGACCAGACAGGCAGGGUGCCAACAUCACGCGGUGAGAAGGUGGGAAAGCCGGGUCUCGCUAUCCCCCAGAAAAUGCUGGAGGACGUGAUGGACGCAAAUCCCAGGUCCCGGCUCACCAGCGCGGCUGGCCUCUGGUGCAGGCAUCAGACUCUGGUGUUGGUCCCAGGGACAGGCGCGCACAGGACAGUGGGGGUGUGCAAGGACCUCAGGCCUCGGGGGAGGAA